AAAUUAAAAGAUGGACUGGAGCUU
RNAcentral lists this non-coding RNA (24 nucleotides) under Cricetulus griseus (Chinese hamster). The record is from RNAcentral. Lineage: Eukaryota; Metazoa; Chordata; Mammalia; Rodentia; Cricetidae.